GAUGAAGAACGUAGCGAAAUGCGAUAAGUAGUGUGAAUUGCAGAAUUCAGUGAAUCAUCGAAUCUUUGAACGCACAUUGCGCCCCUUGGUAUUCCAUGGGGCAUGUCUGUUCGAGCGUCAUCUACACCCUCAAGCUCUGCUUGGUGUUGGGCGUCUGUCCCGCCUCUGCGCGCGGACUCGCCCCAAAUUCAUUGGCAGCGGUCCUUGCCUCCUCUCGCGCAGCACAUUGCGCUUCUCGAGGUGCGCGGCCCGCGUCCACGAAGCAACAUUACCGUCUUUGACCUCGGAUCAGGUAGGGAUACCCGCUGAACUUAAGCAUAUCAAUAAGCGGAGGA
RNAcentral lists this unclassified non-coding RNA (335 nucleotides) under soil metagenome. RNAcentral's name for it is "partial contains 5.8S ribosomal RNA, internal transcribed spacer 2, and large subunit ribosomal RNA". The stretch from base 1 to 120 matches the Rfam family "5.8S ribosomal RNA", at positions 35 to 154 of the family's 154-position model. The record is from RNAcentral.